GAUGAACGCUAGCUACAGGCUUAACACAUGCAAGUCGAGGGGCAGCAUAGGCGUAGCAAUACGUUUGAUGGCGACCGGCGGAUGGGUGAGUAACACGUAUCCAACCUGGCAUAUACACAGGGACAGCCUUCUGAAAGGAAGAUUAAUACCUGAUGCCGCGAGAUAGACUCCUGUUUUUUUCGUGAAAGAUUCAUCGGUAUAUGAUGGGGAUGCGUCUGAUUAGGCAGUUGGCGGGGUAACGGCCCACCAAACCGACGAUCAGUAGGGGUUCUGAGAGGAAGGUCCCCCACAUUGGAACUGAGACACGGUCCAAACUCCUACGGGAGGCAGCACUGAGGAAUAUUGGUCAAUGGGCGAGAGCCUGAACCAGCCAAGUAGCGUGAAGGAAGACUGCCCUAUGGGUUGUAAACUUCUUUUAUACGGGAGUAAACUGAGAGUCGUGACUUUCAUUGCAAGUACCGAAAGAAAAAUUUUCGGCUAACUCCGAGCCAGCAGCCGCGGUAAUACGGAGGAUGCGAGCGUUAUCCGGAUUUAUUGGGUUUAAAGGGAGCGUGCGCGGUCUGUCCAGUCCCUUGGAAAAAUUCACGGGUCAGCCGAGUCCUUGCAUGUGAUACUGACAGCCUUGAGUGUGCCACUGACAUGAUAUCUUCGUGGUGUAGUAUUCAUCUGUUACUGUGUCAACUACAAGUCCAACU
Molecule: ribosomal RNA, 695 nt
Filed under: uncultured bacterium
Lineage: Bacteria
Description: bacterial SSU rRNA
Rfam family: Bacterial small subunit ribosomal RNA
Source: RNAcentral